AGUGGCGGACGGGUGAGUAAUGCUUGGGAAUCUGGCUUAUGGAGGGGGAUAACUACGGGAAACUGUAGCUAAUACCGCGUAGUAUCGAGAGAUGAAAGACUGGGACCGCAAGGCCAGUUGCCAUAAGAUGAGCCCAAGUGGGAUUAGGUAGUUGGUGGGGUAAAGGCCUACCAAGCCGACGAUCUCUAGCUGGUCUGAGAGGAUGACCAGCCACACUGGAACUGAGACACGGUCCAGACUCCUACGGGAGGCAGCAGUGGGGAAUAUUGCACAAUGGGGGGAACCCUGAUGCAGCCAUGCCGCGUGAAUGAAGAAGGCCUUCGGGUUGUAAAGUUCUUUCGGUGAUGAGGAAGGGUGGUGUUUUAAUAGAACAUUACAUUGACGUUAGUCACAGAAGAAGCACCGGCUAACUCCGUGCCAGCAGCCGCGGUAAUACGGAGGGUGCGAGCGUUAAUCGGAAUGACUGGGCGUAAAGGGCACGCAGGCGGUGACUUAAGUGAGAUGUGAAAGCCCCGAGCUUAACUUGGGAAUUGCAUUUCAUACUGGGUUGCUAGAGUAUUUUAGGGAGGGGUAGAAUUCCACGUGUAGCGGUGAAAUGCGUAGAGAUGUGGAGGAAUACCGAAGGCGAAGGCAGCCCCUUGGGAAAAUACUGACGCUCAUGUGCGAAAGCGUGGGGAGCAAACAGGAUUAGAUACCC
Molecule: ribosomal RNA, 697 nt
Filed under: uncultured Haemophilus sp.
Lineage: Bacteria; Pseudomonadati; Pseudomonadota; Gammaproteobacteria; Pasteurellales; Pasteurellaceae
Description: bacterial SSU rRNA
Rfam family: Bacterial small subunit ribosomal RNA
Source: RNAcentral